GGAAGGGGCUUUGGUUCAGUGGCAGAGUAUCUGCUUGUGAUGCAGAAGGUCCCACAUUAAAACCCUGGCAUUUCCA
RNAcentral lists this transfer RNA (76 nucleotides) under Sphaerodactylus townsendi. Its description in RNAcentral is "tRNA-His". The stretch from base 5 to 67 matches the Rfam family "tRNA". From Rfam's summary of the family: Transfer RNA (tRNA) molecules are approximately 80 nucleotides in length. Their secondary structure includes four short double-helical elements and three loops (D, anti-codon, and T loops). Lineage: Eukaryota; Metazoa; Chordata; Lepidosauria; Squamata; Sphaerodactylidae. The record is from RNAcentral.